RNAcentral lists this ribosomal RNA (792 nucleotides) under Candidatus Pacebacteria bacterium CG10_big_fil_rev_8_21_14_0_10_42_12. Its description in RNAcentral is "partial 16S ribosomal RNA". It matches the Rfam family "Bacterial small subunit ribosomal RNA", at positions 1 to 936 of the family's 1533-position model. The record is from RNAcentral. Lineage: Bacteria; Bacillati; Minisyncoccota.
UUGAGAGUUUGAUCCUGGCUCAGGAUGAACGCUGGCGGUGUGCCUUAGGCAUGCAAGUCGAACGGUAACAGGUCUAGCUUGCUAGACGCUGACGAGUGGCGAACGGGUGAGUAACACGUAGGAAUCUACCCAGUAGUGGGGAAUAGCUCGCCGAAAGGCGGGAUAAUACCGCAUACGCCCUCCGGGGGAAAGCAUUUAUGCGCUAUUGGAAGAGCCUGCGCGCUAUCAGCUAGUUGGUGAGGUAAAGGCUCACCAAGGCUACGACGGCUAGCCGAUGUGAGAGCAUGAUCGGCCACAAGGCUACUGAGACACGGAGCCUACNNNNNNNNNNNNNNNNNNNNNNNNNNNNNNNNCUAACCACGUGCCAGAAGCUUCGGUAAUACGUGGGGUGCAAGCGUUAUCCGGAUUUAUUGGGCGUAAAGGGUCCGUCGGCGUCCAUAUAAGUUUCUUGUUUAAGCCCGGGGCUUAACUUCGGAAAAGCAAGAAAAACUAUAUGGAUAGAGUCUGUUCGAGGAAACUGGAAUUCUUGGUGAAGGGGUGAAAUCCGUAGAUAUCAAGAGGAACGCCAAGCGCGAAGGCAAGUUUCUAGGACAGUACUGACGCUCAGGGACGAAAGCUUGGGUAGCAAAAGGGAUUAGAGACCCCUGUAGUCCAAGCCGUAAAUGCUCCUUGCUAGUUGCCCGAACCUUGAGUUUGGGUGGCGUAAGCUAACGCGUUAAGCAAGGCGCCUGGGGAGUACGACCGCAAGGUUAAAACUCAAAGGAAUUGACGGGGGAGCGCACAACCGGUGGA